AGAGUGGAAUCCUCCGCAGCCGUGAAGACUGGUCCCGAGCCAGAAACCAACAUGGGUGAAAGAAGCCAGAUGUGAAGGAAUACACGCGCUGAAUGGUUCCAUCCUGGGACGGACCGGAACAGGCAAAACUAGGAUACUGUCCGAGGUCAGAAUCAUGGUUUCCUUUAAAGAGUGGGUGGGGGGGGUGGGGGGCAGAAGAUGAAUUGGAGCAUCGGGGGGUGAUUUGGGACGCUGGCAGGGUUCUGCCUCUCAUCUGAGUGGGGGGGGGGGGUACAGGAGGCACUUGCUGAAAAUUCAUCGAGCUCUGGCCUUUUUCUCCUAUAUCCUUCCCGUUGUUUGAACAGUGUCGUUGAGCUGUAUCCACCCACUUCAAGUGUGUAAACCUGAGUGGGUUUGUGUGUGUUCGCAGAGCUGGGCAAGCAUCACCCCGUCCAGUUCUGGAACCUUUUCAUCACCCCGGAAAGUAAACAGGGACCUGCUAACAGUCACUCCCCGGCUGCCCCCACUCUCCCAGCCCCGGGCAGUCACGAUUCUCCGGUCCGAGUUACCCACUCUCGCCGCGUGACUGCAGGUUAGAUUUAAACUGAAAUGUACAAGGCGCUGAAUGAAAUAACCACAGGCCACGGGCAGACACUACCCUCCGCCCCUCACUUCUGCGUCCCGCACUUGUCUGUGUUCUUCGGUCAGUCACCCGCCUGGCCCCGGAGGCAUUCAAAGCUGUGACUCCUGGGAUAGAUGAUCCGAGGGUGUUUUCCUGUGGGAAUAUCCCUUGUUUCUCAUUUCUCCCGCAUGGGAGCAGGUCCGGGUCCAACCAUCCUUUAAUGGAGACGGGAGGUGAAGAUCCGUUUGCCAGCCCGUCUCCUGCAUCUAAGCUGCGGCUUUCCCCGGACAGCGAUGUGCCUCCGGAUGGAGUCAUCUCUCCGGACCCCUUCACCGGCCCCCACCUGCUGCUCUGGAGGGAGAGAGGCCUUGGCAGGCGCCCAGCGGGCCCCUCGCUCGG
This 1000-nucleotide long non-coding RNA is filed under the name Felis catus (domestic cat). RNAcentral describes it as "lncRNA (ENSFCAG00000047541.1)". Lineage: Eukaryota; Metazoa; Chordata; Mammalia; Carnivora; Felidae. The record is from RNAcentral.